RNAcentral lists this long non-coding RNA (275 nucleotides) under Bos taurus (domestic cattle). RNAcentral describes it as "long non-coding RNA NONBTAT020642". The record is from RNAcentral. Lineage: Eukaryota; Metazoa; Chordata; Mammalia; Artiodactyla; Bovidae.
AAAGGAGCUAGGUUGUUAUUUACAAUGGAAAGAACUGUAAUUUGCAUGCAUUGAAGGUUCAGUUUGUGAGCCAGGUCAACAGAAUGUUGUUUACUGAAUGAGCUUCCUAUGAAGUACUUUGCUAAGCGUUGAAGGGGGUAUAGUAAUUAGGAUGCUUUUUGGCCAACUCACGGGCUAAGUGAUAAGGAAAUCUGUUGUCUUACAUAAGAAGGAGCAGUCUGCAAGCGCGAUGUGUCAAGCUUCUGCUGUCCUCUGUGAUCCUCAUGGUUCUGCCC